Molecule: ribosomal RNA, 434 nt
Filed under: uncultured Gemmiger sp.
Lineage: Bacteria; Bacillati; Bacillota; Clostridia; Eubacteriales; Oscillospiraceae
Description: partial 16S ribosomal RNA
Rfam family: Bacterial small subunit ribosomal RNA
Source: RNAcentral
ACGGGAGGCAGCAGUGGGGAAUAUUGCACAAUGGGGGAAACCCUGAUGCAGCGACGCCGCGUGGAGGAAGAAGGUCUUCGGGUUGUAAACUCCUGUCGUUAGGGACGAUAAUGACGGUACCUAACAAGAAAGCCACGGCUAACUACGUGCCAGCAGCCGCGGUAAAACGUAGGUGGCAAGCGUUGUCCGGAAUUACUGGGUGUAAAGGGAGCGUAGGCGGCUCGGCAAGUUGGAAGUGAAAACUAUGGGCUCAACCCAUAGCCUGCUUUCAAAACUGUCGAACUUGAGUACUGUAGAGGUAGGUGGAAUUCCCGGUGUAGCGGUGGAAUGCGUAGAUAUCGGGAGGAACACCAGUGGCGAAGGCGACCUACUGGGCAGCAACUGACGCUGAGGCUCGAAAGCAUGGGUAGCAAACAGGAUUAGAUACCCUGGUA